UACAGAGGGUGCGGGCGUUGUCCGGAAUCACUGGGCGUAAAGGGCGCGUAGGUGGCCCGACAAGUCACUGGUGAAAGCUCGACGCUCAACGUCGAGUCGGCCAGUGAUACUGUUGGGCUGGAGCACUGUAGAGGCUCAUGGAAUUCCGGGUGUAGCGGUGGAAUGCGUAGAGAUCCGGAAGAACACCGGUGGCGAAGGCGGUGAGCUGGGCAGUAGCUGACACUGAGGCGCGACAGCGUGGGGAGCAAACAGG
RNAcentral lists this ribosomal RNA (253 nucleotides) under uncultured bacterium. RNAcentral describes it as "partial 16S ribosomal RNA". It matches the Rfam family "Bacterial small subunit ribosomal RNA", at positions 524 to 776 of the family's 1533-position model. The record is from RNAcentral.